AUUAUUUAACCGCUGCUGUAUUUGGUAAUUAAUCAGUCAUAAAUAUCCCGCAAACGCACCAAUUUCUAACCGCAUAACCAAUCGUACAAAUCUUUUAAAACCGUUAGAAACCGCAACCACCCGCAUCCGCAAACUCCUGCAACCGCAACCGCAACCGCAACCGCUGUGUUUGAACCAGUCAGGCCUUUAGUCUCAUGUCAAUCAUGUUAUGUUUUUAUUUGGAGGUUUUACUUUUCAAUUGAUUUUUUUUAUUUUUAGUCAUACAAAUGUGAAUUAUAAUUUUGAAAAUUUAUACUACUAUUUAGCACGUUAAAUACGUGUAUAUAUAUCCAUUUACGAAAAUCUUAAAUAUAUACAUGCAAUGAAAUAACGCUCAAAAUUUUAUCUUAAAUUUUGCAUGUAUCUGGAACUCCACGUGCUUUCCAGCUUUAUGUCAUUGCAUGUAUACCCAGCACUGUGUCUACCCCUCGAUACCUAUCCAUGGAUACAUUCUUAACAGCAUCGUUUUUGAAUUUGUCAUUUUUCAAAUAAAAUAUUAUAUAUAUUGACGUUUACCAACUUCACUUCCGAAAGCAUAUGGAGUUUCAGUGCCUAUACAUGGAUUCUAGACCAACGGCCGGAUGAUCGGAAGCGCCAGUUCGUGACCACCACGACUAUCAAUUAUGUUACAAGAAAAGGACCUGUUGGACCAACCAUGUCUCCAGGACCAGGGACGUCUGAGGUAUCUCAGACACCACCGUCGGAACCUUCUCCUUCAUCCGCCUACGGCCUCUCACCGUCUCUUCUUUUCUUUGGCAUAAGCCUUACAGCUCUCAAAUUACAUUGAUUCAUUUGAUCCUUUAAUUUCCUAUGUCUUCAUAUUAAUCUUCAUGUGGUUUGAUUCAUGUAUUGUCGAUUUAUGGUGAAAAAAAAAACACAUUUACUUGGUCAUUGCAUUGUUGUGGAAGCAGCCUUUUCUGUACAUUGUAAUUCGUUUGUUUUUGUUAGUGAUACAUUGUAAUUGUUUCGAGUGAUAUUUACUUUAUAUUAAUUUUUCAAGUAACA
Molecule: long non-coding RNA, 1044 nt
Organism: Brassica rapa (field mustard)
Lineage: Eukaryota; Viridiplantae; Streptophyta; Magnoliopsida; Brassicales; Brassicaceae
Source: RefSeq, a predicted model, not a curated record